Small nucleolar RNA from Pantherophis guttatus, 70 nucleotides. RefSeq annotates it as small nucleolar RNA SNORD49. The record is from RefSeq and is a predicted model, not a curated record. Lineage: Eukaryota; Metazoa; Chordata; Lepidosauria; Squamata; Colubridae.
CGGGAUGAUGAGCCGAGAUAGGAAGUGCCGUCAGAUGCGAGAACUGACGAGAAAUUCCUCGUGGCUGACC